UUCGUAGGUGGUCUUGUCAGUCUGGAGUUAAAGACCGGGGCUCAACCCUGGCACGCUUUGGAUACUGCAAGACUAGAGUAUUAGAGAGGUUAGUGGAACUCCAGGUGAAGCGGGGGAAUGCGUAGAUAUAUGGAAGAACACCAAUGGCGAAGGCAACUAACUGGCUCAUCACUGACACUGAUGCACGAAAGCGUGGGUAGCAAACA
RNAcentral lists this ribosomal RNA (206 nucleotides) under uncultured Mycoplasma sp. Its description in RNAcentral is "partial 16S ribosomal RNA". It matches the Rfam family "Bacterial small subunit ribosomal RNA", at positions 568 to 774 of the family's 1533-position model. The record is from RNAcentral. Lineage: Bacteria; Bacillati; Mycoplasmatota; Mollicutes; Mycoplasmatales; Mycoplasmataceae.